RNAcentral lists this ribosomal RNA (435 nucleotides) under uncultured bacterium. Its description in RNAcentral is "partial 16S ribosomal RNA". It matches the Rfam family "Bacterial small subunit ribosomal RNA", at positions 28 to 507 of the family's 1533-position model. The record is from RNAcentral.
GAUGAACGCUGGCGGUAUGCUUAACACAUGCAAGUCGAACGGACUCUUCGGAGUUAGUGGCGGACGGGUGAGUAACGCGUGAGAAUCUGGCUUUGGGUUCGGGACAACCACUGGAAACGGUGGCUAAUACCGGAUGUGCCGAGAGGUAAAAGAGAAAUUGCCUGAAGAUGAGCUCGCGUCUGAUUAGCUAGUUGGUGAGGUAAAGGCUCACCAAGGCAGCGAUCAGUAGCUGGUCUGAGAGGAUGACCAGCCACACUGGGACUGAGACACGGCCCAGACUCCUACGGGAGGCAGCAGUGGAGAAUUUUCCGCAAUGGGCGAAAGCCUGACGGAGCAAUACCGCGUGAGAGAAGAAGUCUCUUGGGUUGUAAACCUCUUUUCUUAGGGAAGAACAAAAUGACGGUACCUAAGGAAUCAGCAUCGGCUAACUCCGUG